Molecule: antisense RNA, 75 nt
Filed under: Cryptosporangium arvum DSM 44712
Lineage: Bacteria; Bacillati; Actinomycetota; Actinomycetes; Cryptosporangiales; Cryptosporangiaceae
Description: ASpks TB sRNA
Rfam family: ASpks TB sRNA
Source: Rfam by way of RNAcentral
CUUGAUCGAGCCCAGGUAGAGCGGCCGGUCCUCGAACCGCUCCUGCCCGUACGUCGCGAGCAGCGCCUGCGCCUC